UUUAAAUAGUUUAUUAAAAAUUUUGAUUUGUGGGAUCAAGGAAAUAGUUAUGUAUUUUAAAU
This 62-nucleotide transfer RNA is filed under the name Autocrates maqueti. RNAcentral's name for it is "tRNA-His". Lineage: Eukaryota; Metazoa; Arthropoda; Insecta; Coleoptera; Trictenotomidae. The record is from RNAcentral.